GCGCACUUAGCUUAGUGGUUAAAGCAUCACUCAUGAAUUUUGAGGUCAUGGGUUCAACUCCCAUAGUGCACA
RNAcentral lists this transfer RNA (72 nucleotides) under Puccinia coronata f. sp. avenae. It matches the Rfam family "tRNA". From Rfam's summary of the family: Transfer RNA (tRNA) molecules are approximately 80 nucleotides in length. Their secondary structure includes four short double-helical elements and three loops (D, anti-codon, and T loops). Lineage: Eukaryota; Fungi; Basidiomycota; Pucciniomycetes; Pucciniales; Pucciniaceae. The record is from Rfam by way of RNAcentral.